Molecule: ribosomal RNA, 439 nt
Filed under: uncultured bacterium
Lineage: Bacteria
Description: partial 16S ribosomal RNA
Rfam family: Bacterial small subunit ribosomal RNA
Source: RNAcentral
CCUACGGGAGGCAGCAGUGGGGGAUAUUGCACAAUGGGGGAACCCGGAGGCAGUGACGCCGCGGGGGAGAAGGAGAGUGUCGGAGCGUAAAGCCCUAUAGGAAGGGAAGAAGAGGACGGGACCGGACCAAGAAGCCCCGGUGAACUACGGGCAAGCAGCCGCGGUAAUAGGGAGGGGGCAAGCGUUAGCCGGAUUUACUGGGUGUAAAGGGGGCGCAGACGGCAAUGCAAGGCAGGCGUGAAAGCCCGGGGCCCAACCCCGGGACUGCUCUUGGAACUGCAUGGCUGGAGUACAGGAGGGGCAGGCGGAAUUCCUCGUGUAGCGGUGAAAUGCGUAGCUAUUAGGAGGCACACCGGUGGCGAAGGCGGCCUGCUGGACUGUGACUGCCGUUGAGGCCCGAAAGCGUGGGGAGCAAACAGGAUUAGAUACCCUUGUAGUC